This 312-nucleotide long non-coding RNA is filed under the name Mytilus galloprovincialis (Mediterranean mussel). The record is from RNAcentral. Lineage: Eukaryota; Metazoa; Mollusca; Bivalvia; Mytilida; Mytilidae.
CAGACUAGACUUUGUGACUUUAGCCAUUUCCGUGUAAUUUCAUGCGACAAUUCUUUACUUAUACAUUUGUAAAGAUAUUUUUCGCUGGUAUUUACUGAUUAUGUCAAGUAUGUGAUCGCUACAUGGUGGAGUUGAUCAGUGCGUAAAAUAAACGUCACUUAGUUAUUUUUGAAAUUCAAAUUACAGUAACACUUUGCUUAGGCUGAGGAUAACAACCAUGAUACCUUCAAAGCGACACGGGAUUGAGCAAGAACGUAGUGACAUCUAUUUCACAAUUUCACCAAACAGAAAGUAAUACGUACUCUAUUACAC